GAAGAGGUGGAGAUACGGCGAGCCACUUUGGGUUUCCGGACCCCUUGAGAGAGGGGGGCAUUAAAGGCAAUUUGUUGACGGGACAGUUCGCCCGGCCGACUAUCCUCCUACUCCUCCUCUUGGUCCUGGACAUCUUCCUCUCCCCUCCCCCCCCCCCCCCUCACCCGCCCCAAGCCGUCAUCGAAGUGACUCCACCGACUGUUGAACCUCUCGGCCCCUCCACCUUCACAGCGCUGCCUUGUUUGUUCUGCGGAGGCCACUCGAGGAGAAAGGAAGAGGACUGUUGGUUGCCACCAAGAACACGAUGGCCUCCCGCGCCACUACCUCUACGGGCGCGGGCAGGGGUUGUCGGAGGACAGCAGGACGUAAAGGAGCGGCGGUCCAGUGUCCUAGUGGAACAGCUGGUGAACGAUACUUCUCAGACUUUUUUAUUUGGGAAAGGGGGGGGGGGGGGGGAAUUUCUUUCAGAAACCA
Long non-coding RNA from Bacillus rossius redtenbacheri, 474 nucleotides. RefSeq lists it as uncharacterized. The transcript has 3 exons. NCBI's taxonomy places the organism in Eukaryota, Metazoa, Arthropoda, Insecta, Phasmatodea, Bacillidae. The record is from RefSeq and is a predicted model, not a curated record.